This 786-nucleotide ribosomal RNA is filed under the name Vibrio sp. RNAcentral describes it as "bacterial SSU rRNA". It matches the Rfam family "Bacterial small subunit ribosomal RNA", at positions 61 to 820 of the family's 1533-position model. The record is from RNAcentral. Lineage: Bacteria; Pseudomonadati; Pseudomonadota; Gammaproteobacteria; Vibrionales; Vibrionaceae.
GUCGAGCGGAACGAGUUAUCUGAACCUUCGGGGNNACGAUAACGGCGUCGAGCGGCGGACGGGUGAGUAAUGCCUAGGAAAUUGCCCUGAUGUGGGGGAUAACCAUUGGAAACGAUGGCUAAUACCGCAUAAUGCCUACGGGCCAAAGAGGGGGACCUUCGGGCCUCUCGCGUCAGGAUAUGCCUAGGUGGGAUUAGCUAGUUGGUGAGGUAAUGGCUCACCAAGGCGACGAUCCCUAGCUGGUCUGAGAGGAUGAUCAGCCACACUGGAACUGAGACACGGUCCAGACUCCUACGGGAGGCAGCAGUGGGGAAUAUUGCACAAUGGGCGCAAGCCUGAUGCAGCCAUGCCGCGUGUGUGAAGAAGGCCUUCGGGUUGUAAAGCACUUUCAGUCGUGAGGAAGGUNGUGUAGUUAAUAGCUGCAUUAUUUGACGUUAGCGACAGAAGAAGCACCGGCUAACUCCGUGCCAGCAGCCGCGGUAAUACGGAGGGUGCGAGCGUUAAUCGGAAUUACUGGGCGUAAAGCGCAUGCAGGUGGUUUGUUAAGUCAGAUGUGAAAGCCCGGGGCUCAACCUCGGAAUAGCAUUUGAAACUGGCAGACUAGAGUACUGUAGAGGGGGGGUAGAAUUUUCANGGUGUAGCGGUGAAAUGCGUAGAGAUCUGAAGGAAUACCGGGUGGCGAANGCGGCCCCCUGGNCAGAUACUGACACUCAGAUGCGAAAGCGUGGGGNAGCAAACAGGAUUAGAUACCCUGGUAGUCCACGCCGUAAACNNAUGUCUACUUGG